RNAcentral lists this ribosomal RNA (641 nucleotides) under uncultured freshwater eukaryote. Its description in RNAcentral is "bacterial SSU rRNA". It matches the Rfam family "Eukaryotic small subunit ribosomal RNA", at positions 856 to 1554 of the family's 1831-position model. The record is from RNAcentral.
GCUUAGGUUUCUCGUCUUAGGAUCAUCUGGGGUCAUUCGUACUCGUCCGCGAGAGGUGAAAUUCUUGGACCGGACGAAGACGAUCAGCAGCGAAAGCAUCUGUCAGGGAUGUUUUCUGCGACAAAGGACAAAGGUCAGGGUAUCGAAGACGAUUAGAUACCGUCGUAGUCCUGACUGUAAACUAUGCCGACUUGGGUCUUGCAGAGUAAAUACUUUGUGAGACCCACACAGAAAUGAAAGUGUAUGGGUUCUGGGGGUAGUAUGGACACAAGUCUGAAACUUGAAGGAAUUGACGGAAGAGCACCAUAAGACGUGGAGCUUGCGGCUUAAUUUGACUCAACGCGGGAAAACUUACCAGGUCAAGACAUGGGCGUGAUUGACAGGCUAAUGACCUUUCUCGAUUCCUUGGAUGGUGGUGCAUGGUCGCACUUAGUUGGUGCAGUGAUUUGUCAGGUUUAUUCCGGUAACGAACGAGACCUCGGCCUUGUAAAUAGUUUUACUGCUUACAGGGACAAUGUCGGCUACGUCAAGGAAGUUCGAGGCAAUUGCAGAUCUGGAAUGCCCUUAGAUGUCCUGGGUCGCACGCGUGCUACAAUGACGCCACGAGCGAGUUCAUGUGUUGAAAGACAUGUGAAAUCAGC